AUGACCACCAACUUGGAGGCGAGCUUCCAUCUAAGUCAACUUGCACGCCCUCUUCUCAUACACGCUUCUAUUGCUGGAGGAGGCAGCAUCAUCAACGUGUCCUCCAUUGGAGGCUCAAUUGCCUUCGCAGGCUCCACCGUUUAUGCUAUCACAAAAGGCGCGGUGAACCAGCUUACGAGGAAUUUAGCCACAGAGUGGGCCCCUAACAAGAUCCGUGUGAAUGGCGUCGCCCCAGGAUUUGUCACAACAGAUAUGAUUAAAGAUGUAGAUUCAGAGUACAUGAAGCAAGAGAACUCGAAGACCCCGUUGGGACGGAGUGGCAAGCCGGUGGAGAUCGCCUCGGCAGUGUCAUUUUUGUGUAUGCCGGCAGCUUCUUACAUCACCGGCCAAACCAUUUGCAUUGAUGGUGGUCAAACCAUUAGUUCUUAG
RNAcentral lists this ribosomal RNA (429 nucleotides) under Triticum aestivum (bread wheat). RNAcentral's name for it is "partial small subunit ribosomal RNA". The record is from RNAcentral. Lineage: Eukaryota; Viridiplantae; Streptophyta; Magnoliopsida; Poales; Poaceae.